This 939-nucleotide ribosomal RNA is filed under the name Campylobacter coli. Its description in RNAcentral is "bacterial SSU rRNA". It matches the Rfam family "Bacterial small subunit ribosomal RNA", at positions 502 to 1439 of the family's 1533-position model. Lineage: Bacteria; Pseudomonadati; Campylobacterota; Epsilonproteobacteria; Campylobacterales; Campylobacteraceae. The record is from RNAcentral.
UCCGUGCCAGCAGCCGCGGUAAUACGGAGGGUGCAGCGUUACUCGGAAUCACUGGGCGUAAAGGGCGCGUAGGCGGAUUAUCAAGUCUCUUGUGAAAUCUAAUGGCUUAACCAUUAAACUGCUUGGGAAACUGAUAGUCUAGAGUGAGGGAGAGGCAGAUGGAAUUGGUGGUGUAGGGGUAAAAUCCGUAGAUAUCACCAAGAAUACCCAUUGCGAAGGCGAUCUGCUGGAACUCAACUGACGCUAAGGCGCGAAAGCGUGGGGAGCAAACAGGAUUAGAUACCCUGGUAGUCCACGCCCUAAACGAUGUACACUAGUUGUUGGGGUGCUAGUCAUCUCAGUAAUGCAGCUAACGCAUUAAGUGUACCGCCUGGGGAGUACGGUCGCAAGAUUAAAACUCAAAGGAAUAGACGGGGACCCGCACAAGCGGUGGAGCAUGUGGUUUAAUUCGAAGAUACGCGAAGAACCUUACCUGGGCUUGAUAUCCUAAGAACCUUUUAGAGAUAAGAGGGUGCUAGCUUGCUAGAACUUAGAGACAGGUGCUGCACGGCUGUCGUCAGCUCGUGUCGUGAGAUGUUGGGUUAAGUCCCGCAACGAGCGCAACCCACGUAUUUAGUUGCUAACGGUUCGGCCGAGCACUCUAAAUAGACUGCCUUCGUAAGGAGGAGGAAGGUGUGGACGACGUCAAGUCAUCAUGGCCCUUAUGCCCAGGGCGACACACGUGCUACAAUGGCAUAUACAAUGAGACGCAAUACCGCGAGGUGGAGCAAAUCUAUAAAAUAUGUCCCAGUUCGGAUUGUUCUCUGCAACUCGAGAGCAUGAAGCCGGAAUCGCUAGUAAUCGUAGAUCAGCCAUGCUACGGUGAAUACGUUCCCGGGUCUUGUACUCACCGCCCGUCACACCAUGGGAGUUGAUUUCACUCGAAGCCGGAAUACUAAA